Molecule: long non-coding RNA, 402 nt
Organism: Ruditapes philippinarum (Manila clam)
Lineage: Eukaryota; Metazoa; Mollusca; Bivalvia; Venerida; Veneridae
Exons: 3
Source: RefSeq, a predicted model, not a curated record
UUCUUUGCGUUACUUUUACUACAUUUGGGUGAUACAUGUCAAAAUCAAGCGUUUAAAAGAUAUUUUAUUUCUCGUGCAAUUUUCAGUUUUGAAAGAUUUAAUUAUUGCAAUGGGAGUCGUUGAUUUUACAAAAAGCUUAGUGAAUAACCCAUAUAGAUGGUCCCUUGUGAAAGGAAUAGGGAUGUUUGUACUAGCCAUUUAUAUUGCACGUGAGUUGGAAGCAGCAGAAGCAGAAGCCAUUGCGGACACAGCAGCACAAUUAACACAGCCCCGAUGACAUUAAUAACAUCAUGAAUGUACGGAAUGAUAGGUGAAGAAAGGAUGGAGAAGCUGCUUUUAUACAAAGAUUUUCUUGUUUUUAUGUACAAAUUCAUUCGGAAUAAAAUAUUUUAAAACUGAAAA